UACGUAGGGCGCAAGCGUUGUCCGGAAUUAUUGGGCGUAAAGAGCUCGUAGGCGGUUUGUCGCGUCUGCUGUGAAAACCUAAGGCUCAACCUUGGGCUUGCAGUGGGUACGGGCAGACUAGAGUGCGGUAGGGGUGACUGGAAUUCCUGGUGUAGCGGUGAAAUGCGCAGAUAUCAGGAGGAACACCGGUGGCGAAGGCGGGUCUCUGGGCCGAUACUGACGCUGAGGAGCGAAAGCAUGGGUAGCGAACAGG
RNAcentral lists this ribosomal RNA (253 nucleotides) under uncultured bacterium. RNAcentral's name for it is "partial 16S ribosomal RNA". It matches the Rfam family "Bacterial small subunit ribosomal RNA", at positions 524 to 776 of the family's 1533-position model. The record is from RNAcentral.